UGAAUACGAGAUGCUACGGCGUCGAAGCAGUCUAUGUCAUACUUCCAAGAAAAGCUUGCACUGUCAUAAACAAAUAAUGCCUGUACCAUAACCGACACAGGUGGGUAGGUAGAGUAUACUAAGGGGCGCGAGAUAACUCUCUCUAAGGAACUCGGCAAAAUGACUCCGUAACUUCGGGAGAUGGAGUGCCUUAUUUAUAAGGUUGCAAUAACAAGAUCCAAGCAACUGUUUACCAAAAACACAGGUCUCCGCUAAGUCGUAAGACGAUGUAUGGGGGCUGACGCCUGCCCAGUGCCAGAAGGUUAAAGAAGUUGGUUAGCAUCCGCGAAGCUGAUAACUGAAGCCCUGGUGAACGGCGGCCGUAACAAUAACGGUCCUAAGGUAGCGAAAUUCCUUGUCGGGUAAGUUCCGACCCGCACGAAAGGCGUAAUGAUUUGGAUACUGUCUCGGAGAGGGGCUCGGUGAAAUAGACUUGUCUGUGAAGAUGCGGACUACCUGCACCAGGACAGAAAGACCCUAUGAAGCUUUACUGUAACCUGAAAUUGAAAUUGGACUUUACUUGCGCAGUAUAGGUGGGAGGCGUUGAGAAUAUUCUUGCGGGAUUAUUGGAGCCAUCAGUGAGAUACCACUCUUGUAAUGUUAGAUUUCUAACUUUGUAUCAUUAUCUGGUCAAAGAACAGUUUCAGGCGGGCAGUUUGACUGGGGCGGUCGCCUCCUAAACGGUAACGGAGGCGCACAAAGGUUUCCUCUGAACGGGUAGAAAUCGUAUCUAGAGUGUAAAGGCAUAAGGAAGCUUGACUGUGAGACCUACAAGUCGAGCAGGGACGAAAGUCGGUCUUAGUGAUCUGACGGUGCUGAGUGGAAAGGCCGUCACUCAACGGAUAAAAGUUACUCUAAGGAUAACAGGCUGAUCUCCCCCAAGAGUUCACAUCGACGGGGAGGUUUGGCACCUCGAUGUCGGCUCAUCGCAUCCUGGGGCGGUAGUACGUCCCAAGGGUUGGGCUGUUCGCCCAUGAAAGCGGUACGCGAGCUGGGUUCAGAACGUCGUGAGACAGUUCGGUCCAUAUCCGGUGUAGGCGUUAGAAUAUUGAGAGGAGCCUUCUUUAGUACGAGAGGACCGAGAAGGACAUACCUCUGGUGUACCAGUUAUCGUGCCAACGGUAAACGCUGGGUAGCUAUGUGUGGAGUGGAUAACCGCUGAAAGCAUCUAAGUGGGAAGCCCACCUCAAGAUAAGUAUUCUC
RNAcentral lists this ribosomal RNA (1242 nucleotides) under metagenome. Its description in RNAcentral is "bacterial LSU rRNA". It matches the Rfam family "Bacterial large subunit ribosomal RNA", at positions 1564 to 2815 of the family's 2925-position model. The record is from RNAcentral.